CACACACGCACACACACACACGCACGCGUACACAGUCAUAGCUUUUGAAACUGAACAUAACUUCCAAAGAUCCACACUUCCAUCUUUUUUUUUAAAUUCUCAUAUUCUCUUAUCUUUUAUUCCACAGGAAAUCAGACUGUACAGCUCCUCCCCUUCUCUAAAACAUAACACACACCGAAAUGCUGCCCUGUUGUUGAGUUACUGCUUUUUGAACAUGUACCGUUAUAAAGAAUAUUUCUGUUUUGCUUGUUUACUUUGUAGUUUUGAAUUUGUAUGUCAGUUGUAAUAAAUAAAUAAAUAAAUAAAUAAAUAAUAACUAAAUACAGGUAUUUUUUUUUUAUCCUUCUCACAGCUGGAGAACAUGCAUGCUGAAAAUGUUCAUUUUGACCACUAGAUGGCAGCAGAUAUUUUUCAUCCACCUCACACACUGAAGGGAAUAAAAUCUGUUUAAAUCUGGUUCUAUGAGCAGCUACUACACCUACAUGACAGCUCAUGGACUUUAGGACUGGAUUCUGAUCAUUAGCUAGUAGGAUCUAUGAGGAAUAAAACACUUUUAUUGGAAAAUCAUCCACAACAGGGCGGUGUGAUGGAGAAGGAGCACCUAUAAACAGUCAUCCCUCUCUUCUCUCCCUCUCUCUCUCUCAAAAAGCUGGUCAUUUUAUCAUUUAUAUGAUUCAAAGCCGAUCAACAGAGGUUUACAUUAGUUAGUCAUCCUGUGCAUAGAUGUACUUUAUUUAUUCCCCCGCUUUAUUUAAGCAGGAAGUUUCCAUUGAGAUAAUACAGUCUCUUAAAUCCUGAUCAAGACGGCAGCACAGUUAAGUUUCACAGUAAAAUUCAACAGCAAAUUCUACAAGUACAUAUAUUAAAAACAAAACAAAACAACAACAAAAAACCCCACACAGUCAAUGUAUAAAAACCGAUCAAUAAAAACGACGACACGUCUCCUUUAAUGCAGUCUGCAAAAGACCUUUAAAAGUUCUCAAAGAGGGAAGGAUAUCCAAGUUGAUCACAUUUGGCAAUUUCAUUCCAUACCCACGGAGCAAAAAAAAAAAAACGGAAAGCUGUCUUACCAAAUUCUGAAUGUACCCCCUGGGACUUUCAGCCGAACUUGAGUUGUAGAUCUCGUGCGGUGACUUAGUUUAAAGAUUAAAAGUUAAAAGAUUAGAAACAUGGGAAGGUAACUGACCUAAACGCGUCUUGGCAGUGAAUAAAAACAUAUGCAGUUAUCUCCUGUGAUUGAAGGACCAAGCUGACGAUCCAUAUAAAACACAGUGACGAGUACGAGACUCGCACAACGAGCAAAGUGUAGCGCAGCGUGACGGACAGCGUCCAGUGUUCUGAGUGAGGAUGCAGCUGAACGCAUAUAUAAUAUAUAUAUAAUCAUAUAUACCUUCAGAAAGAUGGUUCUCAAACCACUUUAAAGCAACCUCUAAGACCUACAUGCUUCAGUCUGUGAUGGACAGAAUCGAAUGCUUUUGAAAGAUGAACAGAUGAAGCCGCACAAGACUGUUUCCUAUAAAGAGCUGAUCAUAUGACUCGUGACUAACAUGGCUGCUGUAACGGUACCACGGCCCGAUCUAAAGCCUGAUGGAGCGUCAGUAAGGAGAUUAUCAUCAGAUAAGAAUCGCUUUAUUUGAUUGUUUAGGAAAGAUUAAUAUACUUUAUCUAAGACCGGCAGUUUGGAGAUCUGGUGAUAAUUGUUUGGAUCAGAGGGAUCUCCACUCUUUAAUAAAGGGACAACCACUGCCGAUUUCCUCAUUCUAGGCAUAACGUAGAAGUUAAACUUAAAUUAUAUAUAUAUAUAUAUAUAUAUAUAUAUAUAUAUAUAU
Molecule: long non-coding RNA, 1829 nt
Organism: Ictalurus punctatus (channel catfish)
Lineage: Eukaryota; Metazoa; Chordata; Actinopteri; Siluriformes; Ictaluridae
Source: Ensembl